AACGAACGCUGGCGGCAUGCCUAACACAUGCCAGUCGAACGAGACCGCCGUGCUUUGUUGCGCUCGGGUGCGUAACGCGGGGGAAGCUGCCCUUAGGUUCCGUAUACCUCCCUGUAAGGGGUGCUAAUGCCGGAUAAUCUCUUCGCACCAAAGAUUUAUCGCCUUUGGAUGGGCCCGCGUUGGUUUAGCUGGUUGGUAGGGUAAAAGCCUAUCAAGGCGUGGAUCCAUAGCUGGUGGGAGAGGAUGAUCAGCCACGCUGGGACUGAGACACGGCCCAGAAUCCUACGGGAGGGAGGAGUGGGGAAUAUUGGGCGAUGGGGGAAGGCCUGAUCAAGCAAUGCCGGGUGAGUGAUGCAGGCGUUAGGGUUGUAAAGCUCUUUUACCCGAGGUGAUAAUGACAGUACCGGGAGAAUAAGCACCGGCUAACUACGUG
Molecule: ribosomal RNA, 433 nt
Filed under: uncultured bacterium
Lineage: Bacteria
Description: partial 16S ribosomal RNA
Rfam family: Bacterial small subunit ribosomal RNA
Source: RNAcentral